UUCUUACAGCAUGGAGCCUGCAGGAGAGAAAUGGAUGGCACCAGGUCUGAGGAAGUAUUUCUGUCCACUAACAGUCGACCUAAACACUGUGAACAGAUUCCUCAAACUGUCUGAUGAAAACAGGAAGGUGACACCUGUGGAAGAGGAGCAGCCGUAUCCUGAUCAUCCAGACAGAUUUGAUCUCUAUCAGCUGCUGUGUACUGAUGGUCUGACUGGUCGCUGUUACUGGGAGGUGGAGUGGAGUGGGAAAGUCUAUGUAUCGCUGAGUUACAGAGGAAUCAACAGAAAAGGAGACAAUGACGAUUCCUGGUUUGGAUUGAAUGAUCAGUCCUGGAGUCUAAUUUGCUCAGAUGAUGGUUACACUGUUUGGCAUAAUCAUAGAAAAGCCUUCAUCCCUCUCUCUUCUGUCUCUGGCAGAGUAGCUGUGUAUGUGGACUGUCCUGCUGGGACUCUGUCCUUCUACAGAGUCUCUUCAGAGACACUGAUCCACAUCUACACCUUCAACACCAAAUUCACUGAAACUCUUUGUCCUGGAUUUCUAUUCAGGAGUCGUUCUAAGAGGUCUUGCUGCUCAUUUUAGUGUAGUUCAUUCUAAGUUAGAGAAAACCUAAGUUCACAUAUCUUUCAUCUAAGAUAUUGUUUUAGAUUGACAUUACAUGUACAACAAGAGAUAAUCACAAAGCACUUCACAAUAAACUACCAGUCAGUCAACAUUGGAUAAAAACAAGAAAUUAAUUCAAGCUGAGUGCAGCAUAGUAUGGCCCUGCAACUCAGUGCUGGUCUGGCCUAGUGGUGUCCACAGGAGCUCCAGCACCACUACCCUGUUGCAUCAUUCAUGAUCUCACGUCUUUCCAGCACCCGUCCACUAAACGGUGCCUUUGGCAAAAAUUCCAGUUCAGUACAAUCUCAACGGCAGGCCUUAAAAGUUUUAUUUAAAUCCUUCAAGACAGGAGUCAUUGUCACUUCCUGUUUUGUGGGGCAGGAUUGACGAGGACUUCCUGUGUGAUUAUCAAGGGUUACAGGAUACAGUUUCCAUCUCAUGCUGGAGGAGUCACCCAAUAAUCUUCAGUUUAUUCUGCCAGUGGCUGGGUCUUAAGUGAUGUCAUUAAACUACCACAGCAAUAUGUGAAGCUGUGCUUCCUGAUAAUGAAUAAGAAAUCUGUUGCAGAUCAGCUGAUGCAUCAUGGAGAUAUAACUACUGGAAUAAUUUAGGGGGCGUCCUGGAGUCACAUUUCAAUGAACCUAUUGGCCUCUUAAGAGGUUAACAAAGUCAUUUAUGUUUUAUGUGAAAACUGGAUGACUGUUUACAGUUUAGAGCCAACUGUAAACAUUGAGGGACUGAAGUUCAUCAUUCUAUCCCACCAACAUGCUCCAGCUCUUGCUGAUCUGCCAUCAGACACAUUAUUAAAUCUGAAUUAAUAAAACACUAAAAGCUAGUCAAUCAGCAGGAAACCAAAUGACUUGAAAGGGGGUGGGGCUAUGGUGAUGUCACAUAUUAACCAUGUGAAUGUGAUCAGUGCUCGAACAUGGAGAUUGUUACUUUGAAAAGGAAUUUCAAGGUAAUGGGAAAGAGAAAUACUGUCAGGUUGUUCUUGUUCUUAUUUUUAACUGCUUAACAAGGUGUCAUGAUUUGUGGUUGUAAAACGGAGAGGUAGACACGGUGGACCCAGGUUGCUUAAUAAUGACGAUGGUUUAAAGAUGAAAAACAAAAACACAAUCCAGGCAGCACAGGUGAACUUGGAGGCAAGGAACUCCACACCGGUAGAGCUGGCAAUGGCAAUGACACGGCAGAAUAGAGGACCAGGAGCAGGGAACGAGGAACAGCUGAGGACAAUAAAGGGGAAGACGAGACGGAGACACAACUGAACACUGAAACCUAAAUAAACAUACAGAAAAAAAACAAAUCCUCACACAAGGACUAAAAUAUUUUAGUAAACCAUCUUACUCUUUUAUAGUUGCUUACUAUUUUAACCUUCCUUUCAGCCAUUUUUAUUAUCCCGUGUUGUUUUUAAAAUCCUAUCAGGACUUUGAGAUUUUUAUAUUAUUAUGUUGAUAUUUCACUUGUUUGUGCUUUGUACUGGUUGUUGUUUCAAACAGUGAACUCUCAAGAUGACUUUUGUUUCUGUGAGGUGACUGUGGUUAAACUAAACAAACUGAGUUUUAUGUUUUUUAUGGGAGUGGAUGAGCAAAUGAAAUCUUUGUAUUGUUACACCUGUUAUAAUAAUGUAUUCUGAUAAUUAUUAAACAACCAAAUUAAGGUUUGGGGUUUAAUUAUUUAUAUUUUUCACUGUUUCUGUGACAACAUCUGUAAUCUGAUUUUUAACUGAGUGCUGUAGCACAAUGGCAUACAUAUGGUUACAUAAUGUAACUUUUACUAUAUGCUGAAGCCUGUUUAUAACUGGGUAGUCCUGAGAUGUUGAUUAUAAACUGUGACUGACAGGCAGCCAUGCAAUCCCACUGCUUAAAAAGUGAAAUGAUUUUUAAUAACUUUUUAUUAUGUCUUUUGCUUUAAUUUAACUAAAUUGCACAAAAUAUUGUAAUCAAAAGUUGAAUAUGUGCCGCCUAUUCCUACCUCUGUGUAUGGGUAGUUUUGUAUAACUUGUUUAUAUUUUGGAACACUAUCAACAAUAAAGAAAACCAUUGAUGUCAGGCUUGGUUGUUUUUUGUUCCACUUAUGUCAGUAAUAAAUAAAGUUGGGGUUAUUUCACAUACUUAAAAUUAAGAAAUUCACAUUCACAAUACUUUAGACUUUUUGCUAAUCAGAGAAAAGUGAGGUGACCGCCUUUAACUGUCCUCGUCUCUUCACUGUGUGAAAACAGCACCCACAUCACUUAACUUUAUUUACAACAAACCUUAAGAU
Molecule: long non-coding RNA, 2860 nt
Organism: Poecilia latipinna (sailfin molly)
Lineage: Eukaryota; Metazoa; Chordata; Actinopteri; Cyprinodontiformes; Poeciliidae
Exons: 2
Source: RefSeq, a predicted model, not a curated record